Molecule: long non-coding RNA, 285 nt
Organism: Drosophila innubila
Lineage: Eukaryota; Metazoa; Arthropoda; Insecta; Diptera; Drosophilidae
Exons: 2
Source: RefSeq, a predicted model, not a curated record
GGAAAUUCGUACUGGGUGGCAACAUCGGUUUAUGACGCCCGAUUUACUCAGAAAAAAAAACACAGUCACUGUUUUCGGUCUUAAUUGACAAAAUGUGCGCGCCAAGCAAAUAUUCAAUAACAUCGUCUGUACAAUAAGCUACAGUUAAAAAGAAAAGCUCGCACAAAAAAAUCAAUUCGCAAUAUUCGUGCUGCCGCUCUGCCCGCCCGCCACCGCCGUCGCGCUCAUCCCAAAUAAACACACAACGCACAGCAAAAAAAGAAAAAUCUACAAAAAGAAGCGAAA